This 469-nucleotide ribosomal RNA is filed under the name Peptostreptococcaceae bacterium oral taxon E46. RNAcentral describes it as "bacterial SSU rRNA". It matches the Rfam family "Bacterial small subunit ribosomal RNA", at positions 28 to 482 of the family's 1533-position model. The record is from RNAcentral. Lineage: Bacteria; Bacillati; Bacillota; Clostridia; Peptostreptococcales; Peptostreptococcaceae.
GAUGAACGCUGGCGGCGUGCCUAACACAUGCAAGUCGAGCGAGGGUUUGCUCAGUAUUGAGUAUUCUAAGUCUAGAAUGUUCAAUUCUGAGCAAAACCAAGCGGCGGACGGGUGAGUAACGCGUGGGUAACCUGCCCUAUACACAUGGAUAACAUACUGAAAAGUUUACUAAUACAUGAUAAUAUAUAUUUGCGGCAUCGCAGAUAUAUCAAAGUGUUAGCGGUAUAGGAUGGACCCGCGUCUGAUUAGCUAGUUGGUGAGAUAACUGCCCACCAAGGCAAUGAUCAGUAGCCGGUCUGAGAGGAUGAACGGCCACAUUGGGACUGAGACACGGCCCAGACUCCUACGGGAGGCAGCAGUGGGGAAUCUUCCGCAAUGGGCGAAAGCCUGAUGCAGCAACGCCGCGUGAACGAUGAAGGUCUUCGGAUCGUAAAGUUCUGUUGCAGGGGAAGAUAAUGACGGUACCCUG